Molecule: ribosomal RNA, 253 nt
Filed under: uncultured bacterium
Lineage: Bacteria
Description: partial 16S ribosomal RNA
Rfam family: Bacterial small subunit ribosomal RNA
Source: RNAcentral
UACAGAGGUCUCAAGCGUUGUUCGGAUUCAUUGGGCGUAAAGGGUGCGUAGGCGGCGCGGUAAGUCGGGUGUGAAAUCUCGGGGCUUAACUCCGAAACUGCAUUCGAUACUGCCGUGCUUGAGGACUGGAGAGGAGACUGGAAUUUACGGUGUAGAGGUGAAAUUCGUAGAUAUUCGCAAGAACACCAGUGGCGAAGGCGGCUCACUGGCCCGGUACUGACGCUGAGGUGCGAAAGCGUGGGGAGCAAACAGG